GACGAACGCUGGCGGCGUGCCUAACACAUGCAAGUCGAACGGUCUGGUGGCUAGCACCGAUACUUUAAAGUAAAGCGCAUUGAUUAGCGCAUAAGGGUGAACGUAGAGAACCCUUUACGCAUUAAAUAAGUGCCAUACCUUGAAGAAUGGGUGCUAGACAUCAGAUAGUGGCGAACGGGUGAGUAACGCGUAGAUAACCUGCCUUUUAGAUGGGGACAACACUGGGAAACUAGUGCUAAUACCGAAUGUUGUAUUUUGAUUGCAUGAUUGAGAUACUAAAGAUGGCCUCUAUUUAUAAGCUAUCACUAAAAGAUGGGUCUGCGUCUGAUUAGCUAGUUGGUGAGGUAAUGGCUCACCAAGGCGACGAUCAGUAAGCCGGUCUGAGAGGAUGAACGGCCACACUGGGACUGAGACACGGCCCAGACUCCUACGGGAGGCAGCAGUGGGGAAUCUUCCGCAAUGGACGAAAGUCUGACGGAGCAACG
RNAcentral lists this ribosomal RNA (485 nucleotides) under uncultured bacterium. RNAcentral describes it as "bacterial SSU rRNA". It matches the Rfam family "Bacterial small subunit ribosomal RNA", at positions 28 to 396 of the family's 1533-position model. The record is from RNAcentral.